RNAcentral lists this ribosomal RNA (484 nucleotides) under uncultured bacterium. RNAcentral describes it as "partial 16S ribosomal RNA". It matches the Rfam family "Bacterial small subunit ribosomal RNA", at positions 30 to 507 of the family's 1533-position model. The record is from RNAcentral.
AUUGAACGCUGGCGGCAGGCCUAACACAUGCAAGUCGAGCGGAUGAAGGGAGCUUGCUCCUGGAUUCAGCGGCGGACGGGUGAGUAAUGCCUAGGAAUCUGCCUGGUAGUGGGGGAUAACGUCCGGAAACGGGCGCUAAUACCGCAUACGUCCUGAGGGAGAAAGUGGGGGAUCUUCGGACCUCACGCUAUCAGAUGAGCCUAGGUCGGAUUAGCUAGUUGGUGGGGUAAAGGCCUACCAAGGCGACGAUCCGUAACUGGUCUGAGAGGAUGAUCAGUCACACUGGAACUGAGACACGGUCCAGACUCCUACGGGAGGCAGCAGUGGGGAAUAUUGGACAAUGGGCGGAAGCCUGAUCCAGCCAUGCCGCGUGUGUGAAGAAGGUCUUCGGAUUGUAAAGCACUUUAAGUUGGGAGGAAGGGCAGUAAGUUAAUACCUUGCUGUUUUGACGUUAACAACAGAAUAAGCACCGGCUAACUUCGUG